AGUGAACGCUGGCGGUAGGCCUAACACAUGCAAGUCGAACGGCAGCACAGGAGAGCUUGCUCUCUGGGUGGCGAGUGACGGACGGGUGAGGAAUACAUCGGAAUCUACUCUGUCGUGGGGGAUAACGUAGGGAAACUUACGCUAAUACCGCAUACGACCUACGGGUGAAAGCAGGGGAUCUUCGGACCUUGCGCGAUUGAAUGAGCCGAUGUCGGAUUAGCUAGUUGGCGGGGUAAAGGCCCACCAAGGCGACGAUCCGUAGCUGGUCUGAGAGGAUGAUCAGCCACACUGGAACUGAGACACGGUCCCGACUCCUACGGGAGGCAGCAGGGGGGAAUAUUGGUCAAUGGGCGCAAGCCUGAUCCAGCCAUACCGCGUGGGUGAAGAAGGCCUUCGGGUUGUAAAGCCCUUUUGUUGGGAAAGAAAUCCAGCUGGCUAAUACCCGGUUGGGAUGACGGUACCCAAAGAAUAAGCACCGGCUAACUUCGUGCCAGCCGCCGCGGUAA
This 506-nucleotide ribosomal RNA is filed under the name uncultured bacterium. Its description in RNAcentral is "partial 16S ribosomal RNA". It matches the Rfam family "Bacterial small subunit ribosomal RNA", at positions 29 to 523 of the family's 1533-position model. The record is from RNAcentral.